This 1567-nucleotide long non-coding RNA is filed under the name Mus musculus (house mouse). RNAcentral's name for it is "ilncRNA-EC2". Lineage: Eukaryota; Metazoa; Chordata; Mammalia; Rodentia; Muridae. The record is from RNAcentral.
UCUGAAGUUGGUAGUUUCUCUCAUUGUGCGCGGGGCCCGCAACUGUCGCGGGUGCUGUCGCCCGCACUGCUUUGUUCCCAGAUAGAGGGGCUCCCAGACUGAAGCUUUCCAGCUGGGAUGGAAUUGAGGAAGGGUAGCAGAGGGCCGGAUGAGCGCCCAGUCUGGUUCGAUGCCCAGACCUGAAUGCUGUGCUCCAGCUGUGGCCUCACCGGUGCUGAAUAGAGAGGAAGAGCCACCUUCAUAGCUUACAUGUGAUUCCUCUGCUUAUACAACCCAAUACUGGAUUUACUUACUUUGGCAAGAUAGCUGCAUUGUGCACUGUAUUUAAUGUUCCGUGUACUGUAACCCCGGGUCUUCCUCUGCAUUGCUGCCGUCACACCCUCAAUCCUACCAAUCUAAGUCUCCCGCCUUUGUUUGCCUGCCCUCCUCCCUUAGACUCCUCAUGCAUUCAUGCACAAUGAAUGUCAUCUUUUUAUUCUCUGAUUCCCUUUUACUUUAAUCUCAAACUCUUGACAAGACUUUUACUCUGUCCUAUAAAUUUUCAGCAGUCAGCCAACCUCCCUCCCCCUGCUUUGGUAAUGGAACGUUCUUUUCCGCUUGUAGCCCUGAAACCUAAGCAUUUGAUAUGGUGGAUUGAGUAAGCAUUCUGGCAUUUCUGAAUCGCAACGACUGGUUUGGCCCCUUGAAGUUGUUACCUUGCUUAGUUCUGUCUAGAUUUCCUUGACUCUUUAUGAGCUCUGUCUUGGUGGAUAGUAUAGUCUUACAGCUCCUCCUCCAGGGAGAUGAAAACGUACCACCAACAUCAAUGUACCAGAGAGAUUUCUCACAGUAAGGAAGUUAACUAUUAUCUUUUACUAGAGUAGCCUUUAGUAGUCUUACAGUUCUCCAGUUGAAGGUGAACUUGCUGUACAUUUCUGAGAUGAGUGAGGUGAAUGAAGCAGUGAAGCAAGGUCCCUCAGUGUCAAUGGACUGUGCUUCACCAAGCAAGCCAGCCAGUGGAUCUUAGUGGAUUUGGUAGCUGACUCAAAUGGGAGCUGCAGCCUCAUCUUUCCUGCACUCUGGAGCGUCAUGAUCUCUGAUUUAGAGAAGUUUUUUAGUUGGUUUGUUUAGGAUUGUUGAUACAGCCGCCCAGUCUUUUAAUGAUAUGCUUUGAUUAAGCAUUUAGAGGCUAGUGUAUUGUAUAAUCUUUUCUGUGGGUGGUAAGAAUUGGAAGGUCUCCAAAUGUCCUUUUUAUCUAUGUGUAAGCUCUCAAGUGAAUCCUAGUGCAUCUAAGGGUAGCAGUUAAGCCGAUAUUUGAGUCCUCUCUGUCCCCACCUCCCAUCUUAGUGGCUAUGCCCUGUUUAAACAGACUGCCCUUAAAUUUGUGGUAUUUAUUAGACCUACAAAGUACUGAUUACAUGUAUUUAUAUCUGGAAGGAGAGAAAGUUGGUUUGGAAAUCUUUUUAAUGCAAUAUGAGUAUAUCAAGUUAGACAUUACCAAACACCUGGUAGAUGUCAACACAUUGUACUAAUUUUGAACAUGUGUCACAGGUGUAUACUACAAGUAAAAGGUGUUUAUAGCUGUCAG